GCUGGUUCUCUCCGAAAUAGCUUUAGGGCUAGCCUCAAGUGAUGAUUAUUGGAGGUAGAGCACUGUUUGGACGAGGGGCCCCUCUCGGGUUACCGAAUUCAGACAAACUCCGAAUGCCAAUUAAUUUAACUUGGGAGUCAGAACAUGGGUGAUAAGGUCCGUGUUCGAAAGGGAAACAGCCCAGACCACCAGCUAAGGUCCCAAAAUAUAUGUUAAGUGGAAAAGGAUGUGGCGUUGCCCAGACAACUAGGAUGUUGGCUUAGAAGCAGCCAUCAUUUAAAGAGUGCGUAAUAGCUCACUAGUCGAGUGACACUGCGCCGAAAAUGUACCGGGGCUAAACAUAUUACCGAAGCUGUGGAUUGUCCUUUGGACAAUGGUAGGAGAGCGUUCUAAGGGCGUUGAAGCAUGAUCGUAAGGACAUGUGGAGCGCUUAGAAGUGAGAAUGCCGGUGUGAGUAGCGAAAGACGGGUGAGAAUCCCGUCCACCGAUUGACUAAGGUUUCCAGAGGAAGGCUCGUCCGCUCUGGGUUAGUCGGGUCCUAAGCUGAGGCCGACAGGCGUAGGCGAUGGAU
This 571-nucleotide ribosomal RNA is filed under the name Staphylococcus aureus. RNAcentral's name for it is "partial 23S ribosomal RNA". It matches the Rfam family "Bacterial large subunit ribosomal RNA", at positions 848 to 1423 of the family's 2925-position model. The record is from RNAcentral. Lineage: Bacteria; Bacillati; Bacillota; Bacilli; Caryophanales; Staphylococcaceae.